Molecule: ribosomal RNA, 423 nt
Filed under: uncultured bacterium
Lineage: Bacteria
Description: bacterial SSU rRNA
Rfam family: Bacterial small subunit ribosomal RNA
Source: RNAcentral
GUGGGGAAUAUUGGACAAUGGGCGCAAGCCUGAUCCAGCAAUGCCGCGUGAGUGAUGAAGGCCUUAGGGUUGUAAAGCUCUGUUAGGGGGAAAGAAGGGUUCACUUCGGUGAACAUUGACGGUACCCCCAAAGAAAGCACCGGCUAACUCUGUGCCAGCAGCCGCGGUAAUACAGAGGGUGCAAGCGUUGUUCGGAAUUACUGGGCGUAAAGCGCGUGUAGGCGGUUUGUUAAGUUGGACGUGAAAUCCCUCGGCUCAACCGAGGAACUGCAUCCAAAACUGGCAGACUAGAGUAUCGGAGGGGAAGGCGGAAUUCCCGGUGUAGAGGUGAAAUUCGUAGAUAUCGGGAGGAACACCCGUGGCGAAGGCGGCCUUCUGGAAGAUAACUGACGCUGAGACGCGAAAGCGUGGGGAGCAAACAGG